GAAAUGCGAUAAGUAAUGUGAAUUGCAGAAUUCAGUGAAUCAUCGAAUCUUUGAACGCACCUUGCGCUCCUUGGUAUUCCUUGGAGCAUGCCUGUUUGAGUAUCAUGAAAUCUUCAAAGUAAAUCUUUUUUUAACUCAAUUGGUUUCUACUUUGGUAUUGGAGGUCUUUGCAGCUUCACACCUGCUCCUCUUUGUUCAUUAGCUGGAUCUCAGUGUUAUGCUUGGUUCCACUCGGCGUGAUAAGUUAUCUAUCGCUGAGGACACUGUAAAAGGUGGCCAAGGUAAAUGCAGAUGAACCGCUUCUAAUAGUCCAUUGACUUGGACAAUUCUUUUAUGAUCUGAUCUCAAAUCAGGUAGGACUACCCGCUGAACUUAAGC
Molecule: unclassified non-coding RNA, 378 nt
Filed under: plant metagenome
Description: partial contains 5.8S ribosomal RNA, internal transcribed spacer 2, and large subunit ribosomal RNA
Rfam family: 5.8S ribosomal RNA (bases 1-105)
Source: RNAcentral